UUCGAUUUGUUUUUCUUGGGGGGGGGGGGGGGUUCUUCCGGUGGUGGUGGGUUUGACGGCGACGGUGGUGGUGGGUUUUGACGGCGACUGUGGUGGUGGGUUUUGACGGCAGUGGAGCCUGGCGAUGGUUUCCUUCCCGUUGGUUCGGGUUUCAUGGCACGGGUUAGCUCGAUCAAACAGACAACUCGGUCAACUGUCGGGUGCACUCGGUCAAAGCUGGUCAGCCGUUUCAGUCACAGUUCAGUCUUGCUUCGGGUUCAGGUCAGCGGGUUAACUUGUAUUUAUAAUUUGUUGCUUCGGGUUCGGGUUAGCGGGUUAACUUGUAUUUAUUAAUUGUAAACGUAGAAUCAUAUGAUUAUGUUGUUUCGUUUAUUGUGUAUUGAAUUUUGAAAAUUAUAACGACAACUUGUAUUG
Long non-coding RNA from Helianthus annuus (common sunflower), 414 nucleotides. RefSeq lists it as uncharacterized. The transcript has 2 exons. NCBI's taxonomy places the organism in Eukaryota, Viridiplantae, Streptophyta, Magnoliopsida, Asterales, Asteraceae. The record is from RefSeq and is a predicted model, not a curated record.